AAGUCGUAACAAGGUUUCCGUAGGUGAACCUGCGGAAGGAUCAUUACCAAAUCCAAAAAAAAACUUUAUCAACACCCUAUGUGAACUGAGAAUGGUUUCGUUCCCUCCUCCUUCUCGGAGGCGGAGGGAAUGUCCUUUUUUCAACCCCUUUACAACUAUACAAACCUAUAUUUAUGCUGAAAGCAAAACAAAAAACGAAACAUGAGACAACUUUUAACGGUGGAUCUCUUGGCUCGU
RNAcentral lists this unclassified non-coding RNA (237 nucleotides) under fungal sp. Its description in RNAcentral is "partial internal transcribed spacer region". The stretch from base 1 to 46 matches the Rfam family "Eukaryotic small subunit ribosomal RNA", at positions 1786 to 1831 of the family's 1831-position model. Lineage: Eukaryota; Fungi. The record is from RNAcentral.